GACGAACGCUGGCGGCGUGCCUAAUACAUGCAAGUAGGACGCAGUUGCGAACGGGUGAGUAACGCGUAGGUAACUGCCUAUUAGAGGGGGAUAACUAUUGGAAACGAUAGCUAAUACCGCAUACUAGUAGAUGGACCUGCGUUGUAUUAGCUAGUAGGUAGGGUAAUGGCCUACCUAGGCAACGAUACAUAUCCGACCUGAGAGUGUGAUCGGCCACACGUGGACUGGGAGACAGCCCUGACUGCUACGGGAGGCAGCAGUAGGGAAUCUUCGGCAAUUGGGGGAACCCUGGCCGAGCAACGCCGAGUGAGUGAAGAAGGUUUUCGGAUCGUAAAGCUCUGUUGUUAAGGAAGCGGUACUUAACCAGAAAGGGACGGCUAACUACGUGCCAGCAGCCGCGGUAAUAC
Molecule: ribosomal RNA, 407 nt
Filed under: uncultured bacterium
Lineage: Bacteria
Description: partial 16S ribosomal RNA
Rfam family: Bacterial small subunit ribosomal RNA
Source: RNAcentral